CUGCUCCCAUUGGCUGCUGACCGGCCUCUCGAUGGUUCUUGCCCUCCCCCCCAGCUCGCACCCUGCGUCUCUGAUCUGGGCCGCGUCCCGCUCCAGCGCGUCCAGCAGCAGUCAAGGUUCUAGGUGCAGUUGCAGCUUUUCUUCCUAUGCUGAGCAUAAAUGAACUGGCCAUUUAAAAAAAUAAAAAAUGUGGAAAAAACCUAAAGCCCAUUUGGAUUUAAUCCUAACUCAGGAUGAUGAUGACCUUACUGGCAUAUGGCACUCUGUCCCAAAGUAGAGACCUCUUCAGAAGCAAAGCGUGGAUGGACAUCUCCAGGCCAAAUUGUAACACAUUUCUGCUUCUACAGUGAAAAGAAUUGGGAUCGAUCAUGAUCAAGGUCCUGAUUGAAAGUCCUGUGAAGUCAUUGGGGGUCCCUUCAUGGAUUUAAUUGGGCUUUGGGUCAGGCCCUGACUGAGAAAAAAUAUGGUGAAAUUCAAGCAGAGAAGGAAUCUGAUUUGCCAUGGCCUUCUAUCUAGUCAGAGGUAGAGCAGGGAUUAGAACUCUUUAACAGAUUCUGAGCUUAAUGAUUCACUCCAUCCCGUCAAACCUUCUGUGGAUUUUUCUCACUGAAUGUCUUGGGCAGGGCUAAAUUUUGACAUUUUUGUUUUUCUCUGACUUACGGAGGUUCAAAAUAAAUCAAUUUAGGACCGUGUCCUAUGACUGGUAAGAAGUCACAGAAAGAGUCUCCUUCCUCUAACACUGAACAAGUAACUUCAUUAGAAGAAGGAAAAUGGCAUUAUUCCUAAUUUUUUUUCUCACUGCUUUGCUGUAGAGCUUCUGCCUCAAACCUUCUCAAGCCCCCUCCUGGCUAGCAUCUGUUUAUAGUUGUAAACAAACAGGACACAUAUGCUCACACACAGCACAGAAUGAAGAGGAACAGGGCAAGUCUUGUACAGCUCUAUCCUGCUGGGAAUGACAACGGCACCAUGAUUCCUCUCUCAUCACACCAUUUUUUCUUCUUGGCUUCCAGUAUCUUUUGCAACCGCAGGGGAGAGAUUUGGUAGGGCUGAAAGAAGGCCCUACUACCAUUCCUACGAUGAAGAGGAGGAGGGGAUUUUUGCCAGGGGAAGCCUCUUCCAUUUCUGAUGACCUUCCUAGAUCCUUCAGGGUUCCAUCCUUCGCUGAUUAGCCCUUGCUUUGUGGAUACCAGCUUUCUGGCCAAGGAAGACUGGAUGAGGGGGCUUGAAAAUGCAGGGAGGGCCGCCUCUCAAACCAGGUGUUUGCACAAAACCAGAUGCAAGAAACGAUCCCUGGUACAUCUCAGGAAAAGACAAAUGAUGGACCAUUACAGGUCUUUCCCUGUCCUCUCCACUUCUCCAGUGCUGCCUGGCUUCGCAAACCAACAUUUCUGUGCCUUCUUCUAUGUUGUCCUUUACACAUGCAAGGAACCAUAACGAGGAAGGGAUCAUACCUUCUUUUCUAUCUGGGAAAUGCUAAAUCACUGUGGAUGCUGCUAGAAAUAAGCUGGAUACUGCUGACAAUGUUUGCUCCUGCCCCAGGCCAGAGGCAACCAACCAAUGCACCCUUUCUUGGACUACCAGGCAGGUCAAAUUACCCAAUUAUCCUUGCGGUAUUUCAGUUCAAUAUCAGCCAGUCUGUAGCUAGUACACAUAAUUGCUUUAGAUCUUGUUUUGACAAACAGCGUGUUUAAACACAGGUUAAGCUGUCAUUUUCUGUAGCCAUUUAAAAAAAAAAUAUCAGCAGUUAAUGAAACAAGCUGUCAUCAGGCAGCCAUACUACCAAAGUGACAUGAAAACUGAAUGCAUGCACUGUUUGUUUGUAGACUUUCACAUACGUUUGGACCUAGUGAUAAUUUGUUUUUCUU
Long non-coding RNA from Trachemys scripta elegans, 1865 nucleotides. RefSeq lists it as uncharacterized. The record is from RefSeq and is a predicted model, not a curated record. The transcript has 9 exons. NCBI's taxonomy places the organism in Eukaryota, Metazoa, Chordata, Testudines, Emydidae.